CGUGCCUGGACACGUUUUAGAUGGCAGGAAAGAAAACCUGAAUCUAUGAAAUCUGCGUGAAGGUUGUGAGCUCUCUGGCAGGGUUGAAGGAGUCGAGGUGGACCGAGUACUUUGGCCCAGGCUCUUCACUGAAGGGCAGCUGGAGGUGCUUGUAUAAGCAGCCCAUUGAGAAACGGACAGAAGACCUCCAGUGGAGGAUUGUGCACGGUGCGAUAGCCAUGAACAGAUACCAGGCACACCUGGAUACACAUUGGGGAGGAGUGUGAUUUUUGCCGUCACACUGAGACUCUAGAAUACUUGUUUGUUCAGUGUCCUCGGAUCUCAGCUCUUUGAACUUUUGAAGGGAUGGUUUCAGGGUCUUUUCUUUUAUUUAUUUUUGGUCCAAAAUACUGUAAAUAAAGAAAUGCUGCCCACACACUGGUGACCUUUUGGUCUGGCUGACACGGAAGAACAGGGCGAGGGGUGCUGGUAGUGAGAACCCGGGAAGGUUCUGAAGGGACUGCUGAAAGCCUGAUUCAGGGUGGAACACGCCUAUACAAGACGGUGAACCAUGUACAGACUUUCUAAGGUGUAUAAACCCUAUAGACAGAGUAUCGCCAAACCCUGCUACACUACCCGAUACUAAAUAAAGUAGACCUUAUGAAAAAUGUAUAUUAAGAUAAUAUAUCCCAUUAAACUAAACAUUCAUUCUCUACUACCCCGUUCUAUACAAGGGGGCAGGGGAAAUUGAUCAGUGGGACCCUCCGAAGAACCAUUGUUACUUGCUUCUUGGUAUUAAAUUACCGAGAAAAAGAGAGUUGGUGACUCUUAUUUUUGCGAAAAUCAAUCUGAUGAAAAUAAAUCUGUAUAAAAGUCUAUGAGAAAAUGAAGAUCUUAGAGGACCCGUGUGCGAGGAUGCACGUCAACAGCCCUGCUGGACGUUGUGCCAUCCUUUAAUAACAGUAACAACUUAUUUUUUAUUCUGUAUAACCCGCUUCACCACUGCUCUAUAACUGUAUUGUACAUUUUAUGGACAAAAAGAAGGGGUGGACAUUGUCAACUGCAUGCUACCGGCUCUUGAGCAGGUAUCUGCUGCUGUUGAGGAAGGGCCUGAGCAUUACUCCUCCUCGCUGCCCGCCCACAUUACGGCUCUUGAGAAAGCUUCCCUCCUUACAGCUUGGAAAACUAUCUCAUUAUUUAAGAGUAAUUCCAAAAAUGCAACAAUGCCUCGAUUAAUUGAAUGAGUCAGCGGUAUCGUAAGAUGCAGGAGGAAGUGAAAGACAGCGGAGAGAGAGCUGGGCGACACGCUAGCCUCCAGCUAAGCACCCUGCGAGGAGAGGUGAUGCAAUGCAAUUCCCCAACACAAAGAACGCCGUUCAAUACCAGGGGGCAGGGGGAACUGAUCGGCAGGGCUCUCCGAGGAACCAUUGCUACUCGCUUCAUUGUAUUAAAUGAGGAGAUGAGAGGAGGAUGGUGGAGAGGAAGAUCCUGAGAGGAGAGGGACUGGGUCAAAAGGCGGGUGAGGAGAAAUUAAAAAGGAGGAGAAAAUAAUCAAAUAAUAUUUGAGAAUAGAAGAAUGUCAAGACACUGAGGAGAGAGGAGAAAAGGUAUAUGCAGUCGUUGCAAAAUACCCCACUUGUGGUGUUGUUACGUGUACAUGGCACCGUCGACAAUCAGAAAUGUUGUUUUUGAGAAUAUUAUGUGGCUAGCCUAGCUAGCAUUCCCUAUUUGAACUAAUCACAAAACCCAAGAUAUAGGCUCAAAUGAGAUGAUUUUACAUAUUCUCCUUCAGCCAUUUCUUCAAUGAGAAACACGUUUUCUUUCCACAUUCUGAUAGGAAUUGGCAACCUCAUCCUUCUCCCUACACAGACUCUGCUGCCCUUCACACCUCGACAUUUUUUAAGCCCAUUGACAUAUUUGACAAUCUGGUGGGGCGAGCAGGCUGGUUAAUAUGGGCUUUUUUUUAAGAGGUUGGAAAUAUCUGCAAUGUCAAAAGCCUUUGAUUCAAUGCAGUUCAUUUUUUUAAAGGAGAAAUAAAACUGAGCAGACCUUCUAGUCCAACUGCCAACCCUGAACAAAGUCUAAUAUACUUCCUCCGUCUGAUGCCAAUAUUACACCUUUUAUUUCGAACUCUCUUUUUGCCGUGAAUAUAAUGCUGUAAUUUUAUGCUCCUAAUUUGUCUCAAACUACCGCUUGGGCGUGAUCAGGCGUGUUUUCAAAUGACCAUCAUUUUCAGGGGUUUCCAAUGGGGAAUUUUAAAAACUUAAUGUCUUAACACUUGACAUGUUUAGGAAAUGUGUUUCUGUAAGAUUGUAGAAUUGUGGAGCGGCAUUUAGAAUACUCUGAUGAACAUGCAUUCCUUCCUCCACUGAUAUAUCUUCUGUUGUUGUUUUUAUUAGCUGUUUGUAGCAUCAUCCCUGGUCUCCUUUACCCAGCAUCCCAUAACACGAUUAUGGAGAAAGCUCAGGUAGAGAACUGAAGGUCAUCUCAUGUGUCAGCUGAGCUUGCACACUGCCAUCAUCAAUUUGGUGCCCCAUUUAAGCUGUCAAAGUAAUUUUGGCUGUGCCCUGUCCGCCUGAUGUUCAUGCAUUUCUCAGGGCAUUGCCAACACUCUGCCGUCCACCUGUUACUUGUUCAAAAACGUUUUUCAAAAUGACAAAAAGAUAUUUUUAAAUGUCCAUCCCAACAUCUGAAGAGCCUAAACUGACUAAGCCAAUUUAAAUGUUGAGCUUGUUGCAUGCAUUUGGCAUUUUCAAAAUAAACUUUGGUCUUCAGAGGAGUACUCAGUUUCCCGAAGUUUAGGAGAGUACAAGAACAACAGGAUCGUUGCUCUCUCAAUCGACAACUAUCAGUUAUAAACUUUUCUCUUUUUCUGUUUAUUUCUUACAAAGAAGAAGUCUACAACAGCUAUAAGCUACAUGAACAGACCGUGACAUCAUCUUCUUCAUUUUUUGUGCUAAAAGAACGGGGACCAGCAACGACGUCCCACACCUGAGGGAAACCUCAAGGCAGCCACAACAUAUGUCUGAGUAGAUUUAGGACUACGGCCGGAGAACACCUUCUCCUUCCUCCACCCAGCCAUGUUCUAUGUCAGCGGUUCCCAAACUCAAGAAUGCCGUGGCCCAAUGUGAAAUCUGAAAAUCUUUUGCGACCCACCCAAACCUUUAAUCACAACUCUGAGCAAAACAUAAACUAGGGAUGAUUAAAUGACCGUAAGAAUAUAACCGAUUAAAAGUGUAUUAACCGACAAUGUAUGUUUUGUAUACCAUUUUCUCCGGAGCUCAUGUACCGUAUUUUCCGCACAAUAAGGCGCACCUUCAAUGAAUGACCUAUUUUAGAACAUUUUUCAUGUAUAGGGCGCAUCGGAUUAUAAUGCGCAUAAGAUACUGCAGUCAAACAUUUGACGUCGGGGCGGGUGAACGGGAUGGGCGCCGUAUACAACCAGUAUGGAUCAACCAAUCCAUUGAUAAGGCGCUCCGGAUUAUAAGGCGUACUGUCAUCUUUUGAAAAUUAAAAGGCUUUUAAGUGCGCCUUAAAGUGCGGAAAAUGCGGUAUACAGUGAUCCCUCGCCACUUCGCGGUUCACUUAUCGCGGAUUCGCUAUUUCGCGGAUUUUCAUAUUGCAUUUUUUUUUUUUUUGGUGCAUUGUGCUCUGCAUUCUGAUUCGCUAAAAACUCACUCCCGAGCCGUUAAUUACAGUUCUCCAACGUAAUCGAUGGUGGCAUGUCGGUGUACAAUGAUCUUUUUGCAAAGAAGAAAAAAGAGCGACAACAGCUGCCUAUCACUAUGUUCUUCUCCCGAACAAACACACCUGCACCGCGGGCUUCAGAAGAAGAGAACACUGCAGAGCGCAGUCAGGAUGCAGCGGCCCAGUCUGAAGAGCAGUGAAACGGCCUACACACGAGUCACUGUAUUUGUAUACAUGUAAUAGUUGCUAAUUGUAAAAAAAAAAAAAGUUUUCUAUUUCGCGGAUUUCACUUAUCGCGGGUCAUUUUCGGAACGUAACCCCCGCGAUAAACGAGGGAUUACUGUAUUUACUUUACUAAUACUACAAGAGGGCGCCCCAUUUGACAUUGUGUUGUUUAGCGGCGCUUUUUGUUGAAUAAAGACAGGCGGACGAGCAAGAGCCUUGUUUUAUUAAUCUGUUUGUUUAAAUGGUUUGUGCUUCAUCAAUUAUUGUUUCACAUAACGAAUGUGCCACAUCAUAAAUAUUUUGAUAUUAAUUUCAAACUUUUCAAACUUGAAAAUUAAAAACAUUUUAUUUAUUUAUUGUAAAUGACCUCUCGCGGCCCACCUGCAGUACCUUCAAAGAGGUGUCAUACCCCCAAAGAGGAGAGGUGCUCUGAGUGACUUUAUCGUUAGCACCACCUGGAUGAAGGAAGCAUACUAUCUAUGAUAACAUGCUAUGAUACCUUGCUUGCAGCUUUGCUAACAACCCUAGCCACUAGGCCAGGCCUAGGAGUUGCCAGCCGCCACUGGGAAGCAGCCAGCUACCACCAGGCAGCAGCUACCCACCACCAGGUAACACCAGCCAGCUGGAAGCAGCUACCCACCACCAGGUAACACCAGCCAGCUGGAAGCAGCUACCCACCACCAGGUAACACCAGCCAGCUGGAAGCAGCUACCCAUCACCAGGUAACACCAGCCAGCUGGAAGCAGCUACCCACCACCAGGUAACACCAGCCAGCUGGAAGCAGCUACCCAUCACCAGGUAACACCAGCCAGCUGGAAGCAGCUACCCAUCAUCAGGUAGCGGCGAGCAGCUGGGGAGGAUGGCUGGACGAACAGCCAUUAAUAAUAAUAAAAUAAUAAUACGGUGGUGAGAAUGGUUAAUGAUAUCUAUGUACAGUGUACAGAGCUGUGCUCCCCUCAUAUUUGACUCUAACAAGAAAUAAAUGUGAUUUUCAAAAGGAUACUUAGCAAGGCAGCAAUAAUCAGAAAGGAAAUUGGAAACAGAAAUGUUGUUUGUUUGUUAUUUUAUUUCUUAAUGUAAAUGUUGUUCUCUACGUCUGUGUUUUUGUUCGUCAACAUUGAUGCAUUUUAUGAUUUGUAUUGUAAUGUUUUUUUGCCUGGACCCCAGGAAGAAUAGUCUCCACUACGGUGUAGACUAACUUCUGCUCAGAUAGAUCCCACACAGAUCACAAUUAAACUCAUGAUUAUCUUUAGACAUCAAUCUAAUAAAACAUUAUGGCACCAUUGUAUUCUACCAUUACACUGGUCGAGUUGGAACAUCUGCGUAUUUAAUUAUGCUGUUGUUGUGCCGGGUGGAAACAGUCAUAUGUGUACAGUGCGUGUAGACUUUUCUUUGACCAAUGCUCGAAAAAACAUUAAAACUUAAAAUGAUAUAAAACUGUGAAAAUGCGAAAUAUAAGAAAAUGCUUAGAAAUAUGAACACAAAAUGUCAAAAGAAUUGGGGGAAAUGUUUUUCCACCUCACUGUAGAUUUAAAAGUACCACUGUAGGUAUAGUGUGUUUAUGUGUGUGCGCACAUUCACAGCUAGUCAAGUGAGGUAAACACAAUUGUCAUACUGACACACUUCCUUCUCAUCCAUCUCUAUGUGGAAGACACACCUGGGGUUAUGACACUGUGUGGUGUCAGCAGUUUCCUCUCGAUGAGUUUUGCAGGCUUCGGUGUCACACAGCUAUUAUUGUUUGUGUGUGUGUGUGUGCAAGUGUGAAUGCUCUUGUUGUUUUGGUCUGUCCAGAGGCGAUGCUUCACUUUACACUGACACUGCAGCAUGUACACAAGUGUGCUUGGAGAUCUUCACACACUUUAUCCUGAGAUGCCCACACACACAAGUCAAAGUAGCUUAAUAAGAUAGAUGAAGUAAUAAUGCAGCGCUGACCUCCUCGCAGUCGUCAGUGCAGAAAAUAACCAACCAACUAUGGUUUAAAAAUCAACAGCAACGCACAAAAACAAACCUCACAGCUAUAGAGAAUGUAGCUGCAAAGCUCUGGCACACAAACCGACAAACGCACAUCUAAUAAUAAACACACUCAUAGUAUUCAUAAUGGCAUCCAGAGUGCUUGUUUGAAGGAGAUGGAAUGUGUGUAGACGUAAAUACCAGGGACAAAGCGACACUUAAAUUAAAUACAUCGAAAAGCAAUAUUUUGCAUGAACUGGAAUUAAUAUCAUCCUUUAUUUAACAAUGAGUUAAUAAUAAUGUAAUUCUCACCCAGUUACACAAGGUGUAGCAGGCCCUGUGAAUGUAACCUUUAUGACAGCCAUUGAGUCACGACAUCCAAAUCCCCACCAGAAGCAGGUUACCAAAGAACAGAGCUAAAGGAAACGCCCUUCAGAGACGGCGGACUUCCUACAGAGACUGUUUUAAUGCCACUCUGGAUGUAUUAUGUGCUUAUUUUAAGUUUGUAUGUUUCACCAAUUUUAAUUAUUAGUUAUGGGGAACUAAUCCCGCACAAACAGAUGAAAGGUCGGCAUCUUAGAUGUAAAGCCAUCUUAACGGAGAGAGAGACACCCAACUGCAAAAGGAGAGUAGAGAAAUAGACAAAGACAAAAAUGGAUGAUGAAAAAAAGUUCAAAUCAACCAAUAUAACAUUUGCUCAAGUGCAUUUGCGCUGGUGUUUUUUCAUGAGUGAGAAUGUAAAGUCUGGGCAUUCCCGACUCUUUGCAGUCAUGCCUCCGAAAUGGUGGAACAAGCUCUCUGACGAUGGCUGCUGUUUCCAAUUUGGGGAUUUCUUACCAACUUUUGGAUAAAAUGGUGUCAUUCAUAUUCCGUUAUGAAUACAAUACAAUUUUUUUUAAGAAUACCGUAGCUGACUUCUUUAAGUACAUUUUAAAAGUCUGUAGACAUCACACUCAGGACUCCUUAGAGAAGAAGCCGUCGUCCAUUGGUAACAGCACACAUUAAGGACGCAGGAGGAACUGAAGGUUACAUUUCUCUUGUGAAGUUGAGAAAGAGUCCAGCUUUUUUUGCUGAGGCUCCACACUUGCAACACUUUUAUCCACAGAUGUCCACCACUUUAUCCUUCUUACUGGCUCUGCAGGCCGACAAAAACACACAAGCCAAACCCGUGUCCUCAGAGAGAAUUUCAUUGUUGUAGUAUGAGUUGUAGGGUCUAUUUUUGGGAGCCCCACUUACUGAUUCAGCCCCCAGGACUCUUUGUUAACAAGUAAACACAACCUCCGCAGCACUCCCACCGUCCUCCACAGUCCACUGUGUGAAUAAGAGACACACACAUCACUGUAUAAAUUCAACUUGCCCUUAUGCAGCCCAAAUUAAAGCAGUGUAGUAGAUGUGCAGUAGUGGGAGUACAAGAAAAACUAUCUUUAUGACAAUCCUUUGUGUGAAUCUGGAGGUUCAGAGUCAGUUCCUUUAGAUUUACACGCAAAAUGUAUGCUCCCAAACACUGAGUGGGAGUCAACUAUUAAACACCGUACAAAGUUUCACCUUUUCACCUCACAACAUAAUAAAACCAUCAUCUAAUUGGACAACAAAAUAAUAAUAUACCACAAUAUGCAGAGCAAAUACCAUGCAUUCUCCCAAACUUUCAUGCAUAUGGGGGUGGGGUUUGGCAGGCUGAUUGAUGAAAGAAUGAAUUGCAGGCGUUAAUCCACCAUGAAGUUUGCUUCACAUCAUCUCCUCCAUCUCUGAUUCCCAAAAGAUACCGAUGUUUCAGCACAAACACACCAUAGAGUCCUGCAGCUGAGUACAAUUUUCCCUUCUUGUGCCGGAUUUCAAUUCAUCCAGGAGGGAAAGCAGUGUCAUUACAUUGAGGCAAAUGGGUCAGUUGCAUGGGGUUGAGAGUCAGCCGGAGCUGAAUUUAUAAUCUCUGGGAAUUUUUUCUUUUUUUCUUUCAAAUGACCACUCAAACUGUAUACAAACCCUGGCCCCCAUAAGGUAUCUUUGAACCGUCUAGUGUGCCGUCAAUCAGGUAUUUUACAUAUGCAAAUAAGCAAUUAGAUAGUAACCUUGAUGUUGCUUUUCUCUUUGUAUCCAUAGUUACUGCCGGGCUGUUGGACUAAAAUGAGCUAAGUACCCAAAAUGGGCUUUUCAAAGUUCAAGCCAGCCUCUCAGAGAUUUAUGUCAACAAAUAAAUCAACACUUCCAUUAUGAUUCAUAUCAUUUUCAAUGAACUAUUUUAGUAUUGUAUAUAAAGUUUUAUUCCCACCUGUCUGAUGAUGGUGAAAGAGUGGAUAAUGGAGUAACUGGUCGGGUGCCAACCCCUCAGCUGUGUUUGCCAUAAUGAAAGUUAAAGCUGUGUAAAACAUGAUGUUUGAAAAUGAUUAACUAAUGAUAGUUUUGUGUUUUGUUUGUUCCAGUGCAGUGUUAAUUUUGGCAGCUAUUUUUGAUUUAGUCUUUAGAAGAAAAAUGCAUAUUAGUUUUAGUCACAUCAUUCAGUCGUUUUAAUCCUUCUUAGUUUUAGUCUAGUUCAAAACUCAUUAACAUUUUAGUCUAGUUUUAGUUGACAAAAACUAGACUAAAAUGUAAAUAGUUUUAGUCUAGUUUUAGUUACAUUUAAUUUUAAACUCCCUUUCUUCCAUUCUCAGGCCCAGGGACCCCCUGUGUUGUGUCUAUAACUGCAUAAUAGUCUAGCUUGCAGUACUUGGUUGUCCAUUAGAUGUCCCUCCUAGGACAGGUCUAUAGAUGUCCCUCCUAGGACAGGUCUAUAGCAGGUCGGUAAACUCUGACUCGCGGCCACAAUGGGUUGUAAAAUUUGACGGAGGAGCCGGGCCAAGAACAAAUGGUUGAAGUGUUUGUGUGAGCGAAUAUAAACGACAUGUGAAAAAUCAUUACAUGAAAGGAUUUGGAUUUUAACAAAUAGCAAAGCAUUUAUUUGCAAGGCAAUUUAACAAAUUGGCAAACGCAACACUUUGUUGUCUUUGUCUGUUUACUUGCAAUGCUUUUGACACUUCAUGCUCCUUUAUGCAGGAAACGCUGCCUGCCGUCGCCAGAGAACAGAGCAGAAAGGUCCGACAGCCUGUUAAACGGGUCUUCAUGUUUCUGUGAAGCAGUGCGGCUUCAGCCUGCUAACAGGCAGCUAAACCGAGACAACGAAGCUAAACUAACGAAGCCACAUUCAAUCUCGCCGAAGCGUAAAAUAGUCGUCGCGGUCCGUAGUCGGUGCACAAGAACCACCGCUGCACCGCUGCGAGAGUUCUGGGUUUGGAUGACGUCAUCAUGGCGCGUUAAUAUCCGCGUACGGGCCCGUACUUUGCCGGUCUGUUGUCUGUUAGGUGCGUGCAAAUUUAAGGGGGGGAAAGUAUCGUGACUUCGUCAACCACCAACAUUUUCGUCUCGUUAACGAAAGAUAGAAUAGAUUUAGUCGAAGUUUUUAUUUUUUAAGAUCGUUUUCGUCACGUCUUAGUCUCGCCUUAGUCAUGGAAAAAAGGUUUGUUAACCAAAAUUUUUUGUCAGUUUUCGUCAACGAAAUUAACACUGUUCCAGUGUCUGUUGAUAAGUAAAGUGAAAAUUGAAAAAAAAAGAAUACUUCUGCCCGAUGCUUCUCCCAUUCCGUGUCCCUGAUCCAAGAUGGCGCCGAUGAUGGCUGCCACGGUGCUUCGGUGCGCUUCGUUUUUUGUUGUUAAUUAGGUUUCCUGUUGUGAUUCCCGGAGCUCUUUCACCAGAGAUGAGCUCUUGAACAUCCGUGGAACAACUCCAGCGGAGUUACUUCCAACUUUCCUGCUUUCUUCCGUGGAAUUACUGGACAUUUUAGUCAAAGGUGCGCUCACCUUUCGUCACGCGGUGAGACGCCGUAGGAGAGGAAAACGGGCCGGCUCGCUGGUGAGACUCCGCAGGCGUGGUUCUCGCACUCCGCUGCCAGGCAUCUUUCUCUUCAACGUGCGCUCACUGUGCAACAAACUGGACGAAAUUCAGCUGCUGAUGAGGAGAGACAGAGACUUCUCUACAUCCUCCGUCUUGUGCUUCACGGAGACGUGGCUCUGCGGAUCGAUACCGGACUCCGCGCUCCAGCUGGCGGGCUUCAGCUGCUCCGAGCGGACCGCGACACGGAGCUCUCCGGCAAGACGAAGGGUGGAGGAAUCUGCUUCUACUUCAACAACAGCUGGUGCAACGACGUAACGGUGAUCCUACAACACUGUUCUCCUGAUCUGGAAACUUUUUUCAUCAACUGCAAACCCUUUUAUUCCCCCCGUGAGUUCGCUUCAUUCAUCCUGGUCGGUGUUUACAUGCCGCCGGCGGGCAACGUGCACGAGGCACAGCGGACACUCGCCGACCAGAUACGGCGUGUGGAGCGGACCAACCCGGACUCCGGAGGUAAUCUCACCCAUGAACUUCCUAAAUACAGACAGUUUAUUAAAUGCCCCACCAGAGAGGAGAACACGCUGGAUCACUGUUAUACCACAGUAAGCAGGGCUUAUCACACUGGGACACUCUGACCACGUCAUGGUCCAUUUGAUUCCUGCAUACAGGCAGAAACUAAAGCUCCGCAAACCUGUGGUGAGGGAAUUCAAGAAGUGGACCAGUGAGGCGCUGGAGGAUCUUCGGGCGUGCUUUGACUGCACAGACUGGGAUGUUUUCAGGACGGCUACUGACAGUCUGGAUGAGUUCACAGAGGCUGUAACUUCCUACAUCGGCUUCUGUGAGGACAGCUGUGUACCAUCAUGCACCAGGGUGAGUUACAACAACGACAAACCUGGUUCACAGCGGAACUCAGAACACUACGCCUGCAGAAGGAUCAGGCAUUUAGGAGUGGAGACAAAGACUUGUACACAGAAGCAAAAUACAAGUUUAGCAAGGCGGUGAGAGACGCUAAACGACUGUACUCUGAGAAACUCCAACAACAGUUCUCAGCAAGUGACACUGCUUCGGUCUGGAGACAAACACCUCACCAACUACAAGCCAAAAAACCCCCACUCCAUGAAUGACCUCCGCCUGGCAGACGACCUGAAUGAGUUCUACUGCAGAUUCGAAAGACAAUGUCCUGAUCCCAUCCCCCACAGCUCCACCAACCUGCUGCAGUCCCCCUCCCCUCCCUCCCCCAGCCCAUCAGGUGCUCACGCCUCUUCAACUAUAUCACCUUCCCCUCCCCCACCAGCAACGACCCUCUCUAUUCUGGAGAGAGACGUUAACCGGCUCUUUAAAAGACAAAAUCCCCGUAAGGCAGCCGGUCCGGACUCAGUCUCCCCUCACACCCUGAAGCAUUGUGCUGACCAGCUGUCUCCGGUGUUCACUGACAUCUUCAACACCUCCCUGGAGACCUGCCACGUACCAGCCUGCUUCAAGGCCUCCACCAUCAUCCCUUGUUACGUCCCCCAGCUCUGGUGUUUGUUGCUACACGUGUUUGGGUGCACGCAGUGUCCUGAUUACAGAUGAGCCACACCUGAGCAGAACCUGUGUUGGCGCUACAAAGGCUUCCUGGACCAUUCGGGGGCCACACAGAUCCUUCAGUCUGCACAACGGUGCUUGCUGCUGCCAAGAUCGCCGUUCAGCCGUCCACCCGGCAGUGAAAAACGUUCCACAUUUGUAUUUUGUUUUAGUUUGUUGUUAAGAUACCUUUAAUAUCCAUUCUGUUAAAUAAAAUACCCCUAUCGUAUUUUGAUACGAGCCGGUUUGUGUGUGUCUCGCCUUUAUGUUAAGGGUGGUGUCCGACCGCCCGUAACAUCCCUGUUCCCAAGAAGCCCAGGAUCAUCACACAUGGGCCAAGUGUUUUAUGAGCAAAUACAGAAUCCCUUUGUGUUCAUUUCUAAAGCCUCCCAUUAAGACACACGUCACUUUAUUUAAGACGCUGCGCUACUUGCAAGUUGCAGUCUUGUGCCAGAUUCUCAAUAAAGUCAGACAAAAACAUGUACGGCAUUCCCGCUGUCAUGAAGAUACUCAUUUAACGUUACAUGGAAUCUGCAUGAGGAGGAGGGUUCGUGUCGCUAAAUACCCAACUGAGAUCGGCUUGUGCCGUUCUGACAAAGGAACCUGCCACCAACUAUUUUGGUCAACCAAUAUGGUGUCUGAAUGGCAUAUGUUUUGUACUUCUCAUCCAACCACAAUCAAAUUCACUCUAUCUAGAUUGUGCGUUAUUUUGUGGUGCGCGUAUACACAGCGUUAGCACGUAGCUAACCAGCUAGCUAAACUUCCUGGUGUAGAAGGCUUCGUAUAUGCGGCUUUCCUUUCACGCCGGUCUGUUGUCUGAUUGUGGGGCUGAUCUGGGUCCAGUUGUUUUCCCUCUAGUUUCGCCAACAGUUCUUUUCUCAAAUGGGUCUUGGAGUAGAAGAUGUACUGAGUUUGGGUCGGGUCUUCAUGGAAGGACACUGCUUGUCGUUGCUCUUACUGUGUUGUAAAAACUGCACCUCUCGAGACUCGCCCUGGCGAGAGCGCGGCGUAGGGCGGCGAAGGGGUUAGCCCAAAGCUGAAUGUAUUUUAGGACGCUGAAAUUAUAUGUCACUAAUUCAUCUUUAUCAGUGAUUGGCUAAACUGCUUCUUAGACCCGCCUCUUUGGUCCUGGCUAGAGCCCAACUGAGACAUGCGGAAAGAACGCGCUGAUAUCAUAUCCAAACACAGUCAUGCCCGCACGUCAUUUUGCGGUGCGCGUAUACACAGCGUUAGCACGUAGCUAACUAGCUAGGUAAACCUCCCGGUGUAGAAGUCUCUACAGAAGCUCAGAACGACUCGUUUACUCAGAUUUUCAAAGAAAGAUGCACUAUAGCCAGCAUGUACAACAUUCACUGCCUUCAACUUAAAUAAGGGCGACCUGUUUCACAGAUUUUCAAUUAUUUGACCUAAGACC
This is a long non-coding RNA of Gasterosteus aculeatus aculeatus (three-spined stickleback), 12676 nucleotides long. Lineage: Eukaryota; Metazoa; Chordata; Actinopteri; Perciformes; Gasterosteidae. The record is from Ensembl.